AGAAUGAAUCCACAACCUCUCAUUUCCUGGAAUGAUACACAGAAGAUCAGCAUGGCCUCUGCACAGGGCUGUCAAGCAAAUUUAUGAAGCAUUCCAUUUUUUU
This is a small nuclear RNA of Microtus ochrogaster (prairie vole), 103 nucleotides long. NCBI's taxonomy places the organism in Eukaryota, Metazoa, Chordata, Mammalia, Rodentia, Cricetidae. The record is from Ensembl.